GAUGAACGCUGGCGGCGUGCCUAAUACAUGCAAGUCGAGCGAACGGACGAGAAGCUUGCUUCUCUGAUGUUAGCGGCGGACGGGUGAGUAACACGUGGAUAACCUACCUACAAGACUGGGAUAACUUCGGGAAACCGGAGCUAAUACCGGAUAAUAUUUUGAACCGCAUGGUUCAAAAGUGAAAGACGGUCUUGCUGUCACUUAUAGAUGGAUCCGCGCUGCAUUAGCUAGUUGGUAAGGUAACGGCUUACCAAGGCAACGAUGCAUAGCCGACCUGAGAGGGUGAUCGGCCACACUGGAACUGAGACACGGUCCAGACUCCUACGGGAGGCAGCAGUAGGGAAUCUUCCGCAAUGGGCGAAAGCCUGACGGAGCAACGCCGCGUGAGUGAUGAAGGUCUUCGGAUCGUAAAACUCUGUUAUUAGGGAAGAACAUAUGUGUAAGUAACUGUGCACAUCUUGACGGUACCUAAUCAGAAAGCCACGGCUAACUACGUGCCAGCAGCCGCGGUAAUACGUAGGUGGCAAGCGUUAUCCGGAAUUAUUGGGCGUAAAGCGCGCGUAGGCGGCUUUUUAAGUCUGAUGUGAAAGCCCACGGCUCAACCGUGGAGGGUCAUUGGAAACUGGAAAACUUGAGUGCAGAAGAGGAAAGUGGAAUUCCAUGUGUAGCGGUGAAAUGCGCAGAGAUAUGGAGGAACACCAGUGGCGAAGGCGACUUUCUGGUCUGUAACUGACGCUGAUGUGCGAAAGCGUGGGGAUCAAACAGGAUUAGAUACCCUGGUAGUCCACGCCGUAAACGAUGAGUGCUAAGUGUUAGGGGGUUUCCGCCCCUUAGUGCUGCAGCUAACGCAUUAAGCACUCCGCCUGGGGAGUACGACCGCAAGGUUGAAACUCAAAGGAAUUGACGGGGACCCGCACAAGCGGUGGAGCAUGUGGUUUAAUUCGAAGCAACGCGAAGAACCUUACCAAAUCUUGACAUCCUUUGACAACUCUAGAGAUAGAGCUUUCCCCUUCGGGGGACAAAGUGACAGGUGGUGCAUGGUUGUCGUCAGCUCGUGUCGUGAGAUGUUGGGUUAAGUCCCGCAACGAGCGCAACCCUUAAGCUUAGUCGCCAUCAUUAAGUUGGGCACUCUAAGCUGACUGCCGGUGACAAACCGGAGGAAGGUGGGGAUGACGUCAAAUCAUCAUGCCCCUUAUGAUUUGGGCUACACACGUGCUACAAUGGACAAUACAAAGGGCAGCGAAACCGUGAGGUCAAGCAAAUCCCAUAAAGUUGUUCUCAGUUCGGAUUGUAGUCUGCAACUCGACUACAUGAAGCUGGAAUCGCUAGUAAUCGUAGAUCAGCAUGCUACGGUGAAUACGUUCCCGGGUCU
This 1372-nucleotide ribosomal RNA is filed under the name uncultured bacterium. RNAcentral describes it as "bacterial SSU rRNA". It matches the Rfam family "Bacterial small subunit ribosomal RNA", at positions 28 to 1381 of the family's 1533-position model. The record is from RNAcentral.